RNAcentral lists this ribosomal RNA (253 nucleotides) under uncultured bacterium. Its description in RNAcentral is "partial 16S ribosomal RNA". It matches the Rfam family "Bacterial small subunit ribosomal RNA", at positions 524 to 776 of the family's 1533-position model. The record is from RNAcentral.
UACGUAGGGUGCAAGCGUUGUCCGGAAUUAUUGGGCGUAAAGAGCGUGUAGGCGGCCCGAUUAGUCUGCUGUGAAAGUCCAGGGCUCAACCCUGGAAUGCCGGUGGAUACUGUCGGGCUAGAGUCCGGAAGGGGCGAGUGGAAUUCCUGGUGUAGCGGUGAAAUGCGCAGAUAUCGGGAGGAACACCGGUGGCGAAGGCGGUUCUCUGGGCCUUACCUGACGCUGAGGAGCGAAAGCAUGGGGAGCGAACAGG